RNAcentral lists this ribosomal RNA (942 nucleotides) under Campylobacter jejuni. RNAcentral's name for it is "bacterial LSU rRNA". It matches the Rfam family "Bacterial large subunit ribosomal RNA", at positions 1665 to 2592 of the family's 2925-position model. The record is from RNAcentral. Lineage: Bacteria; Pseudomonadati; Campylobacterota; Epsilonproteobacteria; Campylobacterales; Campylobacteraceae.
GGGUGGGAUGAGUAUUCUAAGGCGCGUGGAAGAACUCUCUUUAAGGAACUCUGCAAAAUAGCACCGUAUCUUCGGUAUAAGGUGUGGUUAGCUUUGUAUUAGGAUUUACUCCGAAAGCAAGGAAACUUACAACAAAGAGUCCCUCCCGACUGUUUACCAAAAACACAGCACUCUGCUAACUCGUAAGAGGAUGUAUAGGGUGUGACGCCUGCCCGGUGCUCGAAGGUUAAUUGAUGGGGUUAGCAUUAGCGAAGCUCUUGAUCGAAGCCCGAGUAAACGGCGGCCGUAACUAUAACGGUCCUAAGGUAGCGAAAUUCCUUGUCGGUUAAAUACCGACCUGCAUGAAUGGCGUAACGAGAUGGGAGCUGUCUCAAAGAGGGAUCCAGUGAAAUUGUAGUGGAGGUGAAAAUUCCUCCUACCCGCGGCAAGACGGAAAGACCCCGUGGACCUUUACUACAGCUUGACACUGCUACUUGGAUAAGAAUGUGCAGGAUAGGUGGGAGGCUUUGAGUAUAUGACGCCAGUUGUAUAUGAGCCAUUGUUGAGAUACCACUCUUUCUUAUUUGGGUAGCUAACCAGCUUGAGUUAUCCUCAAGUGGGACAAUGUCUGGUGGGUAGUUUGACUGGGGCGGUCGCCUCCCAAAUAAUAACGGAGGCUUACAAAGGUUGGCUCAGAACGGUUGGAAAUCGUUCGUAGAGUAUAAAGGUAUAAGCCAGCUUAACUGCAAGACAUACAAGUCAAGCAGAGACGAAAGUCGGUCUUAGUGAUCCGGUGGUUCUGUGUGGAAGGGCCAUCGCUCAAAGGAUAAAAGGUCCCCCGGGGAUAACAGGCUGAUCUCCCCCAAGAGCUCACAUCGACGGGGAGGUUUGGCACCUCGAUGUCGGCUCAUCGCAUCCUGGGGCUGGAGCAGGUCCCAAGGGUAUGGCUGUUCGCCAUUUAAA